Molecule: non-coding RNA, 845 nt
Organism: Salvelinus sp. IW2-2015
Lineage: Eukaryota; Metazoa; Chordata; Actinopteri; Salmoniformes; Salmonidae
Source: RefSeq, a predicted model, not a curated record
AUUUUAGAAUAAGGCUGUAACGUAACACAAUGUGGAGAAAGUACUUUCUGAAGGCACUGUAUGUUUGGUAAAGUAAUAAAGUAGUAAAGUAAUAAAGUAAUAAUGUAAUAAAGAAUGUGAAAUAUUUUGGGUAGAUGUCCUGAAAACAGAUUAUAACUAUAUAUGGACAUAUUAUAAAGUAUGAAAAGGCUUAUUCAUUCCCAACUGUAUGUUAUUUUACCAUAUCAUAAUUMUUGUAUUUGUUUUAGUAUACUUUAACUGUGUACUAGAUCAUAUGGGUUGGAAAAAAAAAAAWUUCUCAGACAUAGAUAAACAUUUCCAGGUGAAAGCUAAAGGUCACAGCUUUCUGGGGGGAACAACACUACAUCAUUCAAAUAUUGCCCUCUUGCUAGAUGAAUGACUAAAGCCAUAGCGAAACAGUACAAAACGGCUGUCAGGUCAACUGGCUUUAAGACAAUUAAUAACAACAAAAAACAAGGUCCACAUAAAUAAUCAUCUUUACAGUGUAGUGCUCCAUACAUGCUAGUGCACUGUGCAACAUGUUGCAUUACAAUCCAUUAGGUAGAAGUGGUUGUUCUUCUCUGUACUCUUCAGGUUGAUGAGGGGAGAGAGGUCAGUUGAACCUCUUCCUUCAGGUUGAUGAGAGAGAUCAGUUGAACCUCUUCCUUCAGGUUGAUGAGGGGAGAGAGGUCAGUUGAACCUCUUCCUCCAGGUUAUGAGAGGAGAUAGGUCAGUUGAACCUCUUCUUCAGGUUGAUGAGAAGAGAGGGGUCAGUUUGAACCUCUCCUUCAGGUUGAUGAGGGGAGGAGGUCAGUUGAACCUCUUCUUUCAGGUUGAUUUAGGGG